AUUGAACGCUGGCGGCAGGCCUAACACAUGCAAGUCGAGCGGAUGAAGGUAGCUUGCUCCUGGAUUCAGCGGCGGACGGGUGAGUAAUGCCUAGGAAUCUGCCUGGUAGUGGGGGAUAACGUCCGGAAACGGGCGCUAAUACCGCAUACGUCCUGAGGGAGAAAGUGGGGGAUCUUCGGACCUCACGCUAUCAGAUGAGCCUAGGUCGGAUUAGCUAGUUGGUGGGGUAAAGUCCUACCAAGGCGACGAUCCGUAACUGGUCUGAGAGGAUGAUCAGUCACACUGGAACUGAGACAGGGCCCAAACUCCUAGGGGAGGCAGCAGAGGGGAAUAUUGGACAAGGGGCGAAAGCCUGAUCCAGCCAGGCCGAGUGUGUGAAGAAGGUCUUCGGAUUGUAAAGCACUUUAAGUUGGGAGGAAGGGCAGUAAGUUAAUACCUUGCUGUUUUGACGUACCAACAGAAUAAGCACCGGCUAACUUCGUG
Molecule: ribosomal RNA, 483 nt
Filed under: uncultured bacterium
Lineage: Bacteria
Description: partial 16S ribosomal RNA
Rfam family: Bacterial small subunit ribosomal RNA
Source: RNAcentral